This 22-nucleotide microRNA is filed under the name Heligmosomoides polygyrus. RNAcentral's name for it is "hpo-miR-10147-5p". The record is from miRBase by way of RNAcentral. Lineage: Eukaryota; Metazoa; Nematoda; Chromadorea; Rhabditida; Heligmosomidae.
GACGACCUAAGCCGGACGACUU